AAUUCCUUGUAACAAACCAAGCAUGAUGAUGAUUUCACCUCCUUCAAUGCCUUAGCACUCAAAACAUGGCCACAAUUCUUCAAAGCAAAAAACUUAUACUUCCCAUUGAAUUCCAACCCUGUUAUCGGGCAAUGAAAUCUUGCAUUAUUUGAUUCCUCACCAGGAAUUGGUUCUAGCUUGAUAUUUAACAUAUCCUUUAAACCCUUUAUGUAUCCGAACUCCUUGGGUAAUUUUUUGCCUAUCAAAGCCUCUACCAACGCCUCCUUGUUGAAUAUAUUACCAAGGCGAUCGAUAACGCAGGGCUGCGUCAAGGGCUCGUUGGAGAGAGCGCAAUUGAGCCAUUUCGAAAGUCUCUGCUCGUUCGGAUCAACCUUAUCAGGCUUUUUGUCCGCGUACAUGUUCAGAUAGCAGUCACGGGACUCAGCACCCGUUGCACCGCCAUCGCCACCGCCUCCAGGGAGGCGAGAGUGCAAAACGAGGGUGGAAAGACGAGAAAUUUUAUGAUUUGGAAUAAGAGUAGAAUCAUGAAGGGGUUUUCCAUUGAGAGUGAAGUAGAAAGAGGAGAGAUUUCGAUUAUUGGGGAAAAGAGAGAGCUUGAGGCUGUGAAGGGUUAUGGCUUUGGGGUGGUCU
Molecule: unclassified non-coding RNA, 630 nt
Filed under: Hevea brasiliensis (rubber tree)
Lineage: Eukaryota; Viridiplantae; Streptophyta; Magnoliopsida; Malpighiales; Euphorbiaceae
Source: RNAcentral